RNAcentral lists this unclassified non-coding RNA (18 nucleotides) under Mus musculus (house mouse). Its description in RNAcentral is "oocyte_clustered_small_RNA12789". The record is from RNAcentral. Lineage: Eukaryota; Metazoa; Chordata; Mammalia; Rodentia; Muridae.
GUGAGGUGCUAGGACAAG